This 69-nucleotide transfer RNA is filed under the name Cervus elaphus (red deer). RNAcentral's name for it is "tRNA-His". It matches the Rfam family "tRNA". From Rfam's summary of the family: Transfer RNA (tRNA) molecules are approximately 80 nucleotides in length. Their secondary structure includes four short double-helical elements and three loops (D, anti-codon, and T loops). Lineage: Eukaryota; Metazoa; Chordata; Mammalia; Artiodactyla; Cervidae. RNAcentral also lists the same sequence under 2 other names. The record is from RNAcentral.
GUAAAUAUAGUUUAAAAAAAACAUUAGAUUGUGGAUCUAAUAAUAGAAGCUCAUAUCUCCUUAUUUACC